AAAUGUGUGAGCAACAAUUCAUUUAUAGUUUGUGUUUUCUGUACUUCAUCUUGCUUUGUGCAAUUUCAUCUUGAAGUUUGUUUUGUCAUUUGAGCAGUUCUUGCUGUCUUACGAUAGGAUUGACUUGAGUGAUCUUUCCUUUCAUAUAAAAUGUGUUGCUUUAUGUAGCGGAUGGCAUUGGGCUGUCCUCAGAAAUAUGUAUAUUCGUAUGUUUACGGUUUAAUUUUGCCAUGUGUAUGUCAAGUGUAAGCAGCAUUCGUCUGAUUGUUCGGUAAAAUCACUCGUUAUUAUGCGAGUGAAACUACCGAACAAUCAGACCACCCCAGGAAUAAGUGUGUCUCCAAUUACCGUUCGCAACAAUGUUGCAAACGGGUAAUUGGCAAUUCGUGCAGUGUGUACUUUGUCCUCUGGGUGGCCGCCAUUCGGGAGACGAACAUAUGGCGGCGGCCAUCUUAAACUCCCCGAACGCUGAGACCUCCACACUGCUGCAAAUUCAUGUAAGAACUACCGAAUGGCCCCCCCCGUUCGGUAGAAAGAACCCCACGAACAAGGGGAUUUACCUGAAUCCUCCCUAGUUCUCAUAACCCAAGCCAUUUGUGUGUUUCAUUCCCUUUUCUGUGACCGACCGCAGGGCCAAAAUGUAUGGAACCCUUUUCAGCUGUUAACUCCAGCGUGGUCGGUCUUUUUAGUACCUCCAGGAAUUUCCCGAACCCCUGGUCCGAUCUGGGUGAUUUUUAGAUGUGUCUCACCCAGAUCAGGGCUACUAGGGGAUGUAAUAUUUAAAGGGGUACCGCUAUGUUUAGGGGUACAUCCAGAAAACAAGGGGAACGGUGUCCUGCAUAAUGGGAUUAUGUGUCAUACUAAGGGGAGGGGAUGUGUGGGUGGCAACUCGUGUAUGAUUGGUGUAUUGUGUAAUUACUGUAAAUCCCUCCCUUGCAUGUGAGAAAGCUUUAAAAGAAGGUUGUGUGAUUAAAAGUUCAGUUCUGCUCCUGAUGCUGUGUGUCGUCCAGUCAUUGGGAUUGAUGUUGGGAUAUUAUUGGAUUGUCUUGCCUGCUGGAAUUAUUGCCUUAUGGAUUUGUAAUACUUGUUCCUGAGCCUCACUGGGAUCUUGAUGGGAGAUAACCUACACUUCAUUUUGACAAACAUUACAAUGGUUUCAAGAUUUCCACCCCGUCAUAUGAGCAGAUGGUACUGCUCUUAAGUUCUAGCUGACUUCUAUCAUAUUCUAGCCUUGAUUUCCCGCACUCAGAUGUCAUAUUUUCACCAUUUAAUAUAUGCAAUAAUCAAUCCUGACUGCCUCCAGCAAUUAACUUACUUUCCAUGUAUUUAACAGCAGCCAGGGAGCUACCUUCUGCUAGGAAAAAGGUAAAAUGAGAGACUUUAACUCUUGUAAUUGUAAAUGGAGCAUAUCACUACGCCAGAAAAUAAAUAAGUAUAGUUUCA
Pelobates cultripes (western spadefoot toad) is the source of this 1443-nucleotide non-coding RNA. The record is from the annotation of a GenBank genome assembly. NCBI's taxonomy places the organism in Eukaryota, Metazoa, Chordata, Amphibia, Anura, Pelobatidae.